This is a long non-coding RNA of Amphimedon queenslandica, 399 nucleotides long. RefSeq lists it as uncharacterized. The record is from RefSeq and is a predicted model, not a curated record. The transcript has 2 exons. NCBI's taxonomy places the organism in Eukaryota, Metazoa, Porifera, Demospongiae, Haplosclerida, Niphatidae.
ACCACACUCAUUAACAGCAAUAUGAUUUAGGCUUUGUUGACACAGGAACAAAAACCAGACGCAAUCGUUAUAGUUUUGUGCCUGUUUUAUGCUUCUGUUUACACGGAAACGAGUAAAACUGUGAUAGAAUCUUCAUAGGAAAACAGUGUUCAAAGUGUUUAAAAAAUAUGCGUUAUGCCUUGCUGUUACCCAGCCUUGGUUAUGAUUUAACCUCUCAAUUUUAAAGUCAUAUCUCAAUUUUAAAGUCAUAUCUCAAUUUUUAAUCUUAAUUUGAAAGCUCAUUAAGGUCGCUUCAUUAUCUACUCUUGAUUGAAUUUUACUAAUUUCUUCAAAUCUUUUAAUUUCAAAGGUUAAUAAAUCAUGCCUGAAUUUUUGAGAUAUCGAGUUGCAUUUUUUUAC